GUCUCCGUAGAUUAGUGGUUAGAUCGCAACGUUGUGGAUACACAAUUCCGUUGUAACGCGUGUUCGACUCACGCCGGGGACA
This 82-nucleotide transfer RNA is filed under the name Auriculariales sp. MPI-PUGE-AT-0066. Its description in RNAcentral is "tRNA-His". It matches the Rfam family "tRNA". Rfam says of the family: Transfer RNA (tRNA) molecules are approximately 80 nucleotides in length. Their secondary structure includes four short double-helical elements and three loops (D, anti-codon, and T loops). Further hydrogen bonds mediate the characteristic L-shaped molecular structure. tRNAs have two regions of fundamental functional importance: the anti-codon, which is responsible for specific mRNA codon recognition, and the 3' end, to which the tRNAs corresponding amino acid is attached (by aminoacyl-tRNA synthetases). tRNAs cope with the degeneracy of the genetic code in two manners: having more than one tRNA (with a specific anti-codon) for a particular amino acid; and 'wobble' base-pairing, i.e. permitting non-standard base-pairing at the 3rd anti-codon position. The record is from RNAcentral. Lineage: Eukaryota; Fungi; Basidiomycota; Agaricomycetes; Auriculariales.